Molecule: unclassified non-coding RNA, 3548 nt
Filed under: Nilaparvata lugens (brown planthopper)
Lineage: Eukaryota; Metazoa; Arthropoda; Insecta; Hemiptera; Delphacidae
Description: formin-like protein 7, transcript variant X2
Source: RNAcentral
AGCUGACAUCACAAAAAAAAUGAAAAGAAAAUGGCUGAAAGAGAAAGAUUUCACUGAUCUCUGUGUAAUUUUUAAGAUUUCUUUUUCAUCAAUCAUCUAUUUGUAAUGUUAUUUACCAAGAAUUCAAUCUACUAUUUCCGGCUAGUUAGCUCUUUUAAAUAUGGCUGUACCAGGAAACAGCGUUGCCAAUAGUACUGUUCUGUUUCGUGAAGUUCACAAGAAUGCCUGGCUCAGAAGACUCCCGACAGAUGAAAAGAAGAUUGGCGCUCAUUCUAAGAAAGGAGAGCGUGUGUGGUGCGUAUUCUGUGUGCAUGACGACGUGGAACCAUUCAUUGAGAUCUAUGGCGACCAGAAGAUGGCGGCGGCACACAAGCCUGACUGGUGCGCCUCUCUGGCGCGCGCACUGCACGUGUCACCCACCAUCUGCCCACAAGACCAACAGUUCGAGUUUGUCGUCACGCUGCCUGACACUGCGCUGCGUCUCUCUGCACCAUCAUGGGAGGUGAUGAUGGAAUGGGUGGACAGCAUAGGCUGCAAGCUGCGUGAGAUGCACGUGCUGUCGCCCAAGGAGAACGUCUACAGCCGGCAACCCGAGACGAGGGCCCCUCUGACCCCCCUGCUCCCCACCCGCGACCCCAACUCCCCCCUGCCCCUCCCGCCUAGUGUGCCCCCUAUGCUGGUGCCAGGCGUCGAGGCGCUCUCUCUCACCACCACCACCACCACCACCACCACGACAACCUCUCUCACUUCCACCCUCUACAUAUCGAACUCUCAGUCCGAUCCUGACUCACCGCUCACCCCCUCCUCGCAAAACAUCACCGUCAUCGAAGUCAGUGCCAACCCCAUCGACUAUGAGCCGUCGACUGCCGAAACUAGUUCGGGCCUUAUCACUAGUGCGCACACUCUAAUCAACCGUGAAGAUCAUGAUGAUGAUGAUGAUGAUGAUGAUACUGUUAACGACGAUGAUAGUUUAGAUGAAGAAAACAUUUUUGACGACGAUGUUGCUGCUGUAACAUGUCCCCCCUUGCCGCGGUUGCCCUCUCAGCUCAACAGAACUAAUCCUAGCUGUGAUAGAAGUAGAAAUAGUCAUAACAAUAGUAACAACAGUGCUCAGCUCACUAGUCAGCUGAUCGAAGUUGAAGCUGCGAGUGUUGCAACUACGAAUCAGUCUCAUCGCAGCUCUCGAACGACGAAUGCAAGUGCAAGUGACAUGGAAGCAACAGCAGCACCUGUGCCACCCGCCAGUCCUGCUCUCUACGAACACGUCUUCCUCUCUUCCAGUCGGCAACCGCCCACCACCUCUCCACCUCCUCCUACCAGUACUACUUCUGCUGCUGCUGCUGCUGCUACUCCUCCUCCUGUUGAUACUAAUAGUGCCUCCUCUUCCUCCCCGCCUCCACCACUGUCUGCGGAUCUCCGAUACUCUCAAGUGCAGCAAUUAUAUCAGAACGCAGUUUUCUGUGAGCGUGUGGUGCCUCCAGUGAAUGCAAUUCGACCAAGAUCUGGCUUGAGACCCAAUCGGAGAAGAAGUAGCGAUAGCUCUGUGCCAGCUGACCGCAUAAGGAGGCUGCAGGCCCCACCUCAUCCCUUCAGACAGCAGCCAAUGGCAGAGGCGGAGGGUGGCGUGACGCUUCGCGAGCGGCAGGUGACGCAGCUGCGGCGAGAGAUGGCGCAUCAGGGCGGAGUGAGGCUCCAGCUAAGAAGGAAGGACUGUCUCGGCUCCAUAGCGCUCGUCGAUGCAUUUGGAGCUGUAUGGAUAGCUGGAUGGAAACAGAAAGAGCACCCAAUGCUGUACAAUGCACUUCAUAUUGGUGAUAAAGUCAUCAGUGUAGCUGGUGUCAGAGUUCAAAACAGUUGUGAUGCUCACAAGCUAAUCAGAGGAGCUCCAAGUCUUUAUGUGGCGCUGGUGAUCAGACGGGUGCCGUGCGGCCGAGUGCUAGCGGUGCGGCGGGAGUGGGAGGGGCAGUGUGUAGGUGUGGUGCAGGAGGGGGGCACGGCCGAGAUUAAGGAGGUGGUGGCGGGGGGGCUGGCCGCUCAGGGGGGCUUGCCCCCGCGUGCCCCCACCCACGACGGCCUGUCACUGACCAGCUGGUCGCUCACUGAGAUCAACGGUCGGCCUCUCAACCUCUUCUUCAAGGACAAUGAGGUACGGGAUCGACUCAACGCCGUUGGCCUCGACAUCUCCUUCCUCGUGCAGCCCACUGACCUUGUCAAACAGAUACGGCGCCAGCUCAAGGCGCUCAGGGGAUACAAGGACUACAUUGUGCAGUAAGUUUUGAUUUGUUGCCUGCUGCUUGUGGGCCAAUGUAACUUGGAGUACGGGAUUUUGCUGGCUGGUCAUGUUGGUCUUGUGGCUCAUUGAGGUCCUCAAGGCCUAAAAGGUGCAUGCAGGACCAAGACUACAACCACUCACCUUUGUCUGUGCAGAAGCACUAAAAUACUCUCGUCCUUCAUUCCUUCAUCGCUUUCUAGUAGUCUUCAAAUGCGAAGAAGGGCUCCUUUUCCUCCAUCGCUGCCGAGGCUUCUUUUCAGGAGUUAUUUCUGGAAGUCUUGUACUUCCAUUCGUUUUCAUUAUUUUCAAUGUUUUCCCGAAAACAAGAACAUGUCCAAUUAAAAACAAUAAAAAUUACAUAGUUCCUAAUCUAAUACCAAAACCUAGUUGAUGCAACAAUGAGACAAAGAUUAGGAAACAUUGAGUGCAUUCUCUUUGUGCUAUUUUGAACUCAAAAAUAUUAUUCAUUGCUGUAUCGAAAAGACAAAAAUAAACCUACUGUACUUAUCUACAAUAAAGUACAGUACAGUAUUUUCUUUCUAGCCUUCUGACAACAGUACAGUAUGCCUCUUCAUGACUAUGCCAUCAUACCCAAUCUUGGGCUGCUCCAAUCCUGUAUUGGACUGCUCAAACUGUAUUUGACUAUUUACUUCAUUCAUAACCCCACCACUUUUAGUGGUGUAUUAUUAUUAAUAAUACUAUUCAGUUCCUAAAAUUAAUAUUGGCUUAGAAAGUUGGAAGUAGCAUUUACACAUUCAAAUAUGAGUGCAAUAAAGCAGCAAGAGUAUGACAUGACACACUUAAUGCAAAUAAGGUUAUGUAUAAAUACAGGUACAUUAAAUGAGAUUUAAAUAGUUUAAUUACAUAAUGAAUAUUACUGAAUUAGCUCAGUAUUGAGAAAUUUGCAUUACGUUAUUCAAAAUAACCUUAAUGGAAUUGAAUGCUAAUAGUUUUGCUGCAGACAAUUGUUAAACCUUUUGCAGCAAUAGUAUGACUAGCCACAAAUAUUAUUCUUUAUUCAACUCACCUCUUCUGCACCUGAUAAAUCAUGGUUUGAAGGUCGAUAGUCUUCAUCAUUAUCAGUGUUAUCAAUAUCUGAAGAGGAAUCAUCACUAUUAUUGAGUAAAGUAUUUAAAUUAAAUAACUUUCUCCUAGUACACAACGUGCUGUUAAUACUAUCCGCCAUCUUUGGAAGUGGCUUGUCACGUUCUUCAUCGAAUACAGCUUGAAUGUCUUUGGGGCAAUAAUAUGAUUUGACGUACCGUACAGUGGUGUU